GCCAGUACGGCGUAGUGGUUUGAGCACUGAACUACAACUCUGGAGACCAGGGUUCGACUCCCAGUUUGGCCA
This is a non-coding RNA of Phrynosoma platyrhinos (Desert horned lizard), 72 nucleotides long. The record is from the annotation of a GenBank genome assembly. Lineage: Eukaryota; Metazoa; Chordata; Lepidosauria; Squamata; Phrynosomatidae.